UGCUGCGUACUCAGCCCAGACGCCCCUCCACCCACUCUAGUCCGCGCAAGAGCCCGUGACGGCAGCAGUACAAAAACGACCGCCAGCCACGGAGGAGGUGAGGGAAGUUCUGUUUCCUCUGAGGGCUUUUCAGUCACGUGACUGCGUCAUUUUGACCCUGGUGUCAAAUCCUUCUCUCGUGUGCUUAAGCAGAAAGGAAAAUAAUUUCAGAUUUGCUAGGUUUUCACAUGAGUUUAGCAUCAUUUUGCUUUAUAAACUCCAAAUAGAUACUUAGAAGUGCAGGCAGUCGUUAGUCUCAUAAUAGCCAGCAAGAAAAUUCCUAUUUCAGAGAAAUUGUUUUCUCAUGUCCAGUGGAGAAAGUCCCGGAUUGCAGAAGAAAGCAGUGCUGGUUCUUUAAAACUUGGUUGACAUCAACACAUACCCAUCUUUGAUGAGGUGCAGCUAAAUGCAAAAUGACUACUUUGAGGCCCGUCCCAGAAACUCACUCUUCCUCCCUUGGCCUCCUCUGUCGCCCAUUACUGGGCUCCUGUGAGUCAUCCCGAUAGGGAUGUUGCUGGGAAUUACUAAAGAGAGAUCUUGAAGCGCCUCGUAAAUGCCCACCAUCAUUACCGAGACAGGCCCAGGCCCUCUGUUUUGUUCCGGGAAAUCUUACCAAGUCCUGAAUGGAUAAUUAUACUCCAGCCCUCACACCAAGCAACCGCAGAUGACAAAAGUCUGUGUGUGUGGGGACUUCCCUGGUGGCGCAGUGGUUAAGAAUCCGCCUGCCAAUGCUAGGGGACACGGGUUCAAGCCCUGGUCCGGGAAGAUCCCACAUGCCACGGAGCAACUAAGCCCGUGCGCCACAACUACUGAGCCUAUGCUCUAGAGCCUGCGAGCUAUAACUACUGAGCCCGCGUGCCACAACUACUGAAGCCCGCAUGCCUAGAGCCCGUGCUCUGCAACAGAGAGAAGCCAACACAAUGAGAAGCCCGCGCACCGCAUCGAAGAGUAGCCCCCGCUCGCCGCAACUAGAGAAAGCCUGUGUGCAG
Molecule: long non-coding RNA, 1028 nt
Organism: Eubalaena glacialis (North Atlantic right whale)
Lineage: Eukaryota; Metazoa; Chordata; Mammalia; Artiodactyla; Balaenidae
Exons: 3
Source: RefSeq, a predicted model, not a curated record